AACGAACGCUGGCGGCAUGCCUAACACAUGCAAGUCGAACGGGAUCCUAGCUUGCUAGGUGAGAGUGGCGGACGGGUGAGUAACAAGUGGGAAUCUGCCUUCUGGUUCGGGAUAACCGCGGGAAACUGCGGCUAAUACCGAAUGCCCUCGCGAGAGGAAAGAUUUAUCGCCAGAAGAGGAGCCCGCGUCCGAUUAGGUAGUUGGUGGGGUAAAGGCCUACCAAGCCGACGAUCGGUAGCUGGUCUGAGAGGAUGAUCAGCCACACUGGGACUGAGAUACGGCCCAGACUCCUACGGGAGGCAGCAGUGGGGAAUAUUGGACAAUGGGGGCAACCCUGAUCCAGCAAUGCCGCGUGAGUGAUGAAGGCCUUAGGGUUGUAAAGCUCUUUUGCCAGGGAAGAUGAUGACUGUACCUGGAGAAUAAGCCCCGGCUAACUUCGUGCCAGCAGCCGCGGUAAU
Molecule: ribosomal RNA, 458 nt
Filed under: uncultured bacterium
Lineage: Bacteria
Description: bacterial SSU rRNA
Rfam family: Bacterial small subunit ribosomal RNA
Source: RNAcentral